UUUUUAAAAACUUGAAUUUGUUUUCGAUUUGUUACGUACUGAUAUGAAAGUGAAAGUAGAAACCUUGUAUGUCAGUUGGCGUUAUGUAUGUUGAGAUCGUUAUCAAGCCCGGAUUCCUUCUUAAACUUAAUGACAAAUGUUUGUUUUUAUGGCCUAUAGAUGCAUUUGGCAACUUGAGUUCAGUGUCACAGUGCUGUUUUUUUUUCAGUCCAAAGAGCCCGAAGCUGAUAAGACUGGCGAUUGAUCCUGAAGCUGAUUUGACAGACGAUUGCAUCAUCACAAUAUUGAAGGUUCAAUAUACAGUCAGCCUCUCAUAAGAUAAAGAACAAAUGCCAAGAUCCAAGGCUUGCUUCAAAGUUAAGAGACUAUUCAGUGCCGCAAAGAAAUUGUUCAGGAAAAGGAGAAGUGGUGGAUAUUCAUUUUUGGUACGGUACAGUUCAAAGAGAUUUUCAAAAUGGUCAUGGAAGAUCAAAGGGAGGACAACUGAAAAAACUGAAAGAUACAGAAGGAAAAAGAGCAAGGAAAUAUAUGGAAUAAUUAUGAAAUGGGGAGGAUGUACACAAUCUUGUCUGAAUUUGGCCUGUGAAGAUUUCCCAUAUUGUAUGCUGGAAUAAUCAAUAACUUGAUUUUUCAUAAAUUUACAAUAGAGAAUACAUGACAAAUGUUAUUGCUGAUAUUUAAAUGUUGCGUUGGACACUUUCAUGUCAUAUGGUAUUUUUAUACAUUACCUAAUUAUGUUAUUCAUUUGUACAUGUACAGUAUACAUGUUUAACUACUAAAUCAUUUUGCUGAAAUCUUAUAAUUUGUACUCAUGUUAGAAUAUGUUUAAUACAUGUAUCGACAAAUGCUACUGACUUGUUUGUAUAUUUUCUUGUUUAGAAUGUACACUGUGAAAAAUAAGUUAUUUCUCUUGAUGAAAAUAAUUUUAUCAAAAAAGUUGUGUAAGCAUUUUAAGAUAUUUUAAAAUAUUUAACCAAUGAAGAUAGAUCAUUGUAAUGUAAUGAAUUUUCAUCUAAAGCAGAAAUAUCUGAUUUUUAAAUGUGUACAAGAAUGUGAAAAAUAUUG
Long non-coding RNA from Saccostrea cuccullata (small rock oyster), 1065 nucleotides. RefSeq lists it as uncharacterized. Lineage: Eukaryota; Metazoa; Mollusca; Bivalvia; Ostreida; Ostreidae. The transcript is spliced from 3 exons. The record is from RefSeq and is a predicted model, not a curated record.